Poeciliopsis prolifica (blackstripe livebearer) is the source of this 245-nucleotide long non-coding RNA. RefSeq lists it as uncharacterized. The transcript is spliced from 3 exons. The record is from RefSeq and is a predicted model, not a curated record. NCBI's taxonomy places the organism in Eukaryota, Metazoa, Chordata, Actinopteri, Cyprinodontiformes, Poeciliidae.
CGGCCGCACAGCAGCUCCGACCGUUUCCUCCUCAGCGACUGGAUUCAGUUUUAUUAUCAUUUCACAGAGCUAUGAAUCCGGCGCCGCGCCUCGUCGUCCUGCUGCUGGCGGCUCGGAUCGCAGCAUCUCAGACAUUCAUCAAUGCUGGCCAACAUUUCAGAGUCGUUUUUCCAGAAAACAUUGCCUACUACCACCCUUCUGAUGCCCAGAACAAGAUCUGGGUCAUGGCUCUGCAUGACGGCACA